UUAGAUACCCUAUUAUUUUAAGCUAUAUAUUGGUAGUAAUUAAUAAUUUAUGAAAUCAUAAGAUUUUGGCGGUAUUUUAAGCUUAUUAGAGGAAUUUGCUCUGUAAUGGAUACAACGCCUUAAUCUUACUUAAUUUGGUUUUAAAGUCAGUUUGUAUACCACUAUAUUUAAUUAUAUUGAAUAAUUAUAUUUAAGAUUUUUUUUUUAUAAAAAAUAUAUUAAGUCAAGGUGCAAUUUAUAAUUAUGAAUGAAGUGAAUUACAUUAAUUUUAAUUUUACUUAAAUAUUGAAAAAAAAYUAUAGGAUUUAAUAG
Molecule: ribosomal RNA, 312 nt
Filed under: Ixodes affinis
Lineage: Eukaryota; Metazoa; Arthropoda; Arachnida; Ixodida; Ixodidae
Description: partial 12S ribosomal RNA
Source: RNAcentral